GAUGAAGAACGUAGUGAAAUGCGAUACUUGGUGUGAAUUGCAGAAUCCCGUGAACCAUCGAGUCUUUGAACGCAAGUUGCGCCCGAAGCCAUUAGGCCGAGGGCACGCCUGCCUGGGCGUCACACGUCGUUGCCCCCCCAUCUACUCCUUCGGGAUUGCGGGGGGCGGAUGAUGGCCUCCCGUGCGCCUCGUCGCGCGGUUGGCAUAAAUGCCAAGUCCUCGGCGACGCACGCCACGACAAUCGGUGGUUGCGAAACCUCGGUUGCCCGUCGUGUGCGGUCGUCGCGAAUCGAGGGCUCGAAAAAAUUGUCGGGCUCCGGCUCGGCUUACAACGCGACCCCAGGUCAGGCGGGGUUACCCGCUGAAUUUAAGCAUAUCAAUAAGCGGAGGA
Molecule: unclassified non-coding RNA, 391 nt
Filed under: soil metagenome
Description: partial contains 5.8S ribosomal RNA, internal transcribed spacer 2, and large subunit ribosomal RNA
Rfam family: 5.8S ribosomal RNA (bases 1-122)
Source: RNAcentral